RNAcentral lists this ribosomal RNA (368 nucleotides) under uncultured organism. RNAcentral describes it as "bacterial SSU rRNA". It matches the Rfam family "Bacterial small subunit ribosomal RNA", at positions 526 to 896 of the family's 1533-position model. The record is from RNAcentral.
CGGAGGGUGCAAGCGUUAUCCGGAUUCACUGGGUUUAAAGGGUGCGUAGGUGGGCAAGUAAGUCAGUGGUGAAAUCUCCGGGCUUAACCCGGAAACUGCCAUUGAUACUAUUUGUCUUGAAUACUGUGGAGGUCAGCGGAAUAUGUCAUGUAGCGGUGAAAUGCUUAGAUACGACACAGAACACCAAUUGCGAAGGCAGCUGGCUACACAAAUAUUGACACUGAGGCACGAAAGCGUGGGGAUCAAACAGGAUUAGAUACCCUGGUAGUCCACGCCCUAAACUAUGGAUACUCGACACUUGCGAUAAACUGCAAGUGUCUGAGCGAAAGCAUUAAGUAUCCCACCUGGGAAGUACGAUCGCAAGAUUG